RNAcentral lists this ribosomal RNA (264 nucleotides) under uncultured archaeon. Its description in RNAcentral is "partial 16S ribosomal RNA". It matches the Rfam family "Archaeal small subunit ribosomal RNA", at positions 717 to 982 of the family's 1478-position model. The record is from RNAcentral.
AGACGUCUACAUUAGAUACCCCGGUAGUCCCAGCCGUAAACUAUGCGCGUUAGGUGUAUCGGUGACCACGAGUCACCGAGGUGCCGAAGGGAAACCGUGAAACGUGCCGCCUGGGAAGUACGGUCGCAAGGCUGAAACUUAAAGGAAUUGGCGGGGAGCACCACAACGGGUGGAGCCUGCGGUUUAAUUGGACUCAACGCCGGGAAGCUCACCGGAUAAGACAGCGGAAUGAUUGCCGGGCUGAAGACUCUGCAUGACUAGCUG